CCCUUAGAUGUUCUGGGCUGCACGCGCGCUACACUGAUGCGCUCAACGAGUUUAUGACCUUGCCCGGAAGGGUUGGGUAAUCUUCUUAAAACGCAUCGUGAUGGGGAUAGAUUAUUGCAAUUAUUAAUCUUCAACGAGGAAUUCCUAGUAAGCGCGAGUCAUCAGCUCGUGCUGAUUACGUCCCUGCCCUUUGUACACACCGCCCGUCACUCCUACCGAUUGAGUGAUCCGGUGAAUAAUUCGGACUGCAGCAGUGUUCGGUCACGAACGUUGCAGCGGAAAGUUUAGUGAACCUUAUCACUUAGAGGAAGGAGAAGUCGUAACA
RNAcentral lists this ribosomal RNA (325 nucleotides) under uncultured eukaryote. RNAcentral describes it as "partial 18S ribosomal RNA". It matches the Rfam family "Eukaryotic small subunit ribosomal RNA", at positions 1470 to 1796 of the family's 1831-position model. The record is from RNAcentral.